This 494-nucleotide long non-coding RNA is filed under the name Ananas comosus (pineapple). RNAcentral describes it as "long non-coding RNA (ACOM_LNC013243)". The record is from RNAcentral. Lineage: Eukaryota; Viridiplantae; Streptophyta; Magnoliopsida; Poales; Bromeliaceae.
UUGGCAUCUUUUUUUUUCAGAGCUCUUUUGGAUUUGCUGCCUUAUUUGCACUUUUUUGAACUUUUGCUUCUACAUACCAAUACACCAUACUCAACUAGAUCCCAAAGAUCUUGUGAAAUCAAAAAAGUUCGCAUUUUGAUACUCCAAAAUUCAAAAUUUUCUCCAUUGAAAAUUGGCACCAUGAAUUGAGAGAAUUAAGUGCACUUGCAUUUUUCAUGAUAGAACAAGUGUAAUGAGAAUAUACCUCUCACUUUGUACCUUCCAACUUACUAGAAGUUAGCAAGCCUUCCAACUACUUCUUACUUCAGAAAACACCACAACGCCCAGCCUUGAUCACAACGGGCUUUCUAAAGUAAUGCUCACUAAUAAAUUUGCACAGCAAUGUAGUAGAAGAAAUAAAAACUUUCAUUCAAAACUUGGUGAAUAACAAGUUUACAACAAGGAUUUAAAUAGAAGAAGAAAACUUGAGCCAAGAAAACCCAACUCAACACAUG